GGACCCUUCCAUGAAGACUGAGGCAGGCAUAGCUGCUGAGAGCCUGCUGACAUGACAUCGGCCACGGAGUUUGAAAACGUAGGCAACCAGCCAUCGUACAGCCGGAUCAAUGCCCGCUGGGAUGCCCCGGAUGAUGAGCUGGAUAAUGACAACAGCUCAGCCAGGCUCUUUGAGAGGUCCCGGAUCAAGGCCUUGGCAGAUGAGCGGGAAGUUGUUCAGAAGAAGACCUUCACGAAAUGGGUGAACUCACACCUGGCACGUGUGUCCUGCCGUAUCACCGACCUCUACAAGGACCUGCGGGAUGGGAGGAUGCUCAUCAAGCUGCUGGAGGUGCUCUCGGGAGAGACGCUGCCAAAGCCCACGAAAGGGAAGAUGCGCAUCCACUGCCUGGAGAAUGUGGACAAGGCCCUGCAGUUCCUGAAGGAGCAGCGUGUGCACCUGGAGAACAUGGGCUCCCACGACAUUGUGGAUGGCAACCACCGCCUGGUCCUGGGCCUCAUCUGGACCAUCAUCCUCCGCUUCCAGAUUCAGGACAUCGUUGUCCAGACUCAGGAAGGUCGUGAGACACGCUCGGCCAAGGAUGCGUUGCUGUUAUGGUGUCAGAUGAAGACGGCAGGCUACCCCCACGUCAAUGUCACCAACUUCACCUCCAGCUGGAAGGAUGGCCUGGCCUUUAACGCCCUGAUACACAAGCACCGACCUGACCUGAUCGACUUCGACAAGCUGAAGGACUCCAACGCCCGUCACAACCUGGAGCACGCAUUUGACGUGGCUGAGCGUCAGCUGGGCAUCAUCCCGCUCCUCGACCCCGAAGAUGUCUUCACAGAAAACCCUGAUGAGAAAUCCAUCAUUACCUACGUGGUGGCAUUUUACCAUUACUUUUCCAAGAUGAAGGUGCUGGCAGUAGAGGGCAAGCGUGUCGGCAAGGUCAUCGACCAUGCCAUUGAGACUGAGAAGAUGAUUGAGAAGUAUAGUGGUCUGGCCUCGGACCUGCUCACCUGGAUCGAGCAGACCAUCACCGUCCUGAACAGCCGCAAGUUCAUCAAAUCCCUGUCCAGCGUCCAGCAGCAGCUACAGGCCUUCAGCACCUACCGCACCGUGGAGAAGCCACCCAAGUUUCAGGAGAAGGGGAAUCUGGAAGUCCUACUUUUUACCAUCCAGUCCCGAAUGAGAGCCAACAAUCAGAAAGUGUACACGCCCCAUGAUGGGAAAUUAGUGUCUGACAUCAACCGGGCCUGGAAAAGCCUGGAGGAAGCUGAGUAUCAGCGGGAGCUGGACCUGAGGAAUGAGCUCAUCCGGCAGGAGAAGCUGGAGCAGUUGGCCCGGCGCUUUGACCGAAAGGCCGCCAUGAGAGAGACGUGGCUCAGUGAAAACCAGCGUCUUGUGGCCCAGGAUAACUUCGGGUACGACCUGGCAGCUGUGGAGGCCGCCAAGAAGAAGCAUGAGGCCAUUGAGACAGACACGGCUGCCUACGAGGAGCGGGUGAGGGCCCUGGAGGACCUGGCCCAGGAGCUGGAGAAGGAGGACUACCACGACCAGAAGCGCAUCACAGCCCGCAAGGACAACAUCCUGCACCUGUGGAACUACCUGCAGGAGCUGCUGCAGUCCCGGCGCCAGAGACUCGAGAAGACGCUGGCACUACAGAAGCUCUUCCAGGACAUGCUGCACAGCAUCGACUGGAUGGAUGAGAUCAAGGCUCACCUCUUGUCUGCUGAGUUUGGGAAGCACUUAUUGGAGGUUGAGGACUUGCUGCAGAAACACAAAUUGAUGGAGGCCGACAUUGCCAUCCAAGGGGACAAAGUGAAGGCCAUCACUGCUGCUACUCUGCAAUUCACUGAGGGGACAGGGUACCAGCCUUGCGACCCCCAGGUCAUCCGGGACCGUGUCAGCCACCUGGAGCAGUGCUUCGAGGAGCUGAGCAACACAGCGGCCGGGCGAAAGGCCCAGCUGGAGCAGUCCAAGCGGCUCUGGAAGUUCUUCUGGGAGAUGGAUGAGGCCGAGAGCUGGAUCAAGGAGAAAGAGCAGAUUUACUCCUCCCUGGACUACGGCAAGGACCUGACCAGCGUGCUCAUCUUGCAGCGCAAGCACAAGGCCUUUGAGGAUGAGCUGCGCGGGCUGGACGCCCACCUGCAGCACAUCUUCCAGGAGGCUGAGGGCAUGAUUGCACGCAAACAGUUUGGAUACCCGCAGAUCAAGGCCCGAAUUAAGGAGGUGUCUGCCCAGUGGGACCAGCUGAAGGAGCUGGCUGCCUUUCGCAAGAGGAACCUCCAGGAUGCUGAGAACUUCUUCCAGUUCCAGGGCGAUGCAGACGACCUGAAGGCCUGGCUGCAGGAUGCCCACCGGCUGCUCUCAGGAGAUGACGUGGGGCAGGAUGAAGGGGCCACACGGGCCCUGGAGAAAAAGCACAAGGACUUCCUGGAUAAGUUGGAGGAGAGCCGCGGGGUGAUGGAGCAUCUGAAACAGCAGGCCCAGGCCUUCCCCCAAGAGUUUCGGGAUUCCCCAGAUGUGACCAAUCGGCUGCAGACCCUCCAGGAUCUCUACCAGCAGGUGGUGGCCCAGGCAGACCUGCGUCAGCACAGGCUGCAGGAUGCCCUGGACCUGUACAUGGUGUUUGGGGAGACUGAUGCCUGUAAGCUGUGGAUGAGUGAGAAGGAGAAGUGGCUGGCCCAGAUGGAUAUCCCAGACACGCUGGAGGACCUGGAGGUUGUGCAGCACAGGUUUGACAUCCUGGACCAGGAGAUGAAGACUCUGAUGGCUCAGAUUGAUAGCGUGAACCUUGCUGCCAACAGCCUGGUAGAGAGUAACCACCCGCGCAGUGGGGAGGUGAAGCAGUACCAGGACCAGCUGAACACCAGGUGGCAGGCAUUCCAGACCAUGGUGUUAGGCCGGCGGGAGGCAGUGGACUCGGCCCUUUGGGUGCACAACUACUGUGUGGACUGCGAGGAGACCAGCAAGUGGAUCACGGACAAGACAAAUGUAGUAGAGUCCACAAAGAACCUGGGUCGGGACCUGGCGGGCGUCAUUGCCAUUCAGCGCAAGUUGUCGGGGCUGGAGCGUGAUGUGGCCGCCAUCCAGGCCCGCGUGGGUACCCUUGAGCGGGAGUCACAGCGGCUGAUGGAGUCACACCCUGAGCUGGAGAAGGACAUUGGCCGGCGGCAGGCGUAUGUGGAGGAGCUGUGGCAGGGCCUGCAGCAAGCCCUGAAGGGCCAGGAGGCCUCGCUGGGGGAAGCCAGCCAGCUGCAGGCCUUCCUGCAGGAUCUAGAUAAAUUCCAGGCUUGGCUAUCCACGGCCCAGAAGGACGUGGCCUCCAAGGACAUGCCCGAGUCCCUCCUAGAGGCUGAGCAGCUCCUGCAGCAGCAUGGGGCCAUCAAGGAUGACAUUGACAGGCACCAGGAAAGCUACCAGCAGGUCAUGGCAUCUGGGGAGAAAGUAAUUAGUGGCCAGACGGACCCAGAGUACCAGCUCUUAGGCCAACGGCUGGGUGGCCUGGCUACUGGCUGGGACUCCCUGCGCCGGAUGUGGGAAAGCCGCAGCCACACCCUCACCCAGUGCCUCGGCUUCCAGGAGUUCCAGAAGGAUGCCAAGCAGGCUGAAACCAUCCUCAGCAACCAGGAAUACACUCUGGCUCACUUGGAGCCCCCAGACUCCCUAGAAGCUGCAGAGGCCGGGAUACGGAAGUUUGAGGAUUUCUUGUUGUCUAUGAAGAACAACCAGAAUAAGGUCUUGAGCACCAUAGACUCUGGAAACAAGCUGGUAGCUGAGGGAAACCUCUACUCCAACAAGAUCAAGGAGAAGGUGCAGCUGAUUGAGGACAGGCACAGGAAGAAUGGCAAGAGGGCCCAGGAGGCCGGAGACCUUCUGAGAGACAACCUGGAGCUCCAGAACUUCCUGCAGAACUGCCAGGAGCUCACUCUCUGGAUCAAUGACAAGCUGCUGACAUCUCAGGAUGUCUCCUAUGAUGAAGCGCGAAACCUUCACAACAAGUGGCUGAAGCACCAGGCAUUCAUGGCGGAGCUGGCUUCCCACCAGGGCUGGCUGGAGAACAUUGAUGCAGAAGGAAAGCAGCUGAUGGAGGAGAAGCCCCAGUAUUUGGCCCUGGUGUCCCAGAGGCUAGAAGCCUUGCACCAGCUCUGGAAUGAGCUUCAGGCCACCACACAGGAGACAGCCCAGCGCCUCUCAGCCGCCAGGAGCUCCGAGCUGCACCUGCAGACCCACGCCGACCUCAACAAGUGGAUCAGGGCCAUGGAGGACCAGCUGCGGUCAGACGACCUGGGCAAGGAUCUGACCAGCGUCAACAGGAUGCUAGCUAAGCUGAAGCGCGUGGAGGACCAAGUGAACGUGCGGAAGGAGGAGCUGAGGGAGCUGUUUGCCCAGAUGCCGUCGCUGGAAGAGGAGGUGGAAGGGGAAGACCUGAGCAUUGAGAAGCGGUUCCUGGACCUUCUGGAGCCCUUGGGGAGGAGGAAGAAGCAGCUGGAAUCAUCCAGAGCCAAGCUGCAGCUCAGCCGGGACUUAGAGGAUGAGACGCUCUGGGUGGAGGAGAGGCUGCCUCUGGCCCAGUCGGCCGACUAUGGCACUAACCUGCAAACUGUGCAGCUGUUCAUGAAGAAGAACCAGACGCUGCAGAAUGAGAUCCUGGGCCAUGCACCGCGGGUGGAGGAUGUGCUGCGGAGAGGGCAGCGGCUGGUGGAGGCGGCCGAGAUCGACUGCCAGGACAUCGAGGAGCGCCUGAGGCACCUGCAGGGCUCGUGGGGCACGCUGCAGGAGGCGGCGGCCGGGCGGCUGCAGCGCCUGCGGGAGGCCAGCGAGGCACAGCAGUACUACCUGGACGCGGAGGAGGCCGAGGCCUGGAUCAGCGAGCAGGAGCUCUAUGUCAUCUCCAAAGAGACCUCCGAGGAUGAAGAGGGUGCCAUCGUGAUGCUGAAGCGGCACUUGCGGCAGCAGCGCGCGGUGGAGGAGUACGGGAGGAACAUCAAGCAGCUGGCCGGCCGGGCCCAGGGCCUGCUGUCUGCCGGCCACCCUGAGGGGGAACAGAUCAUCAGACUUCAGGGGCGAGUGGACAAGCAGUAUGCAGGGCUGAAGGACAUGGCAGAGGAGCGCAAGCGGGAGCUGGAGAACCAGUACCACCUCUUCCAGCUGAGGAGGGAGACAGAUGACCUGGAGCAGUGGAUCGCAGAGAAGGAGCGGGUGGCCUCUUCUCCAGAAAUGGGGCAAGACUUUGACCACGUGACUCUGCUCCGGGACAAGUUCCGGGACUUUGCUCGGGAGACUGGGGCGAUUGGGCAGGAGCGGGUGGACAACGUGAAUGCCAUCAUCGAGCGGCUCAUCGAUGCAGGCCAUGCAGAGGCGGCCACCAUCGCCGAGUGGAAGGACGGGCUGAACGAGAUGUGGGCAGACCUGCUGGAGCUCAUCGACACGCGCAUGCAGCUGCUGGCCGCCUCCUACGACCUGCACCGCUACUUCUACACCGGCGCCGAGAUCCUGGGCCUCAUCGAGGAGAAGCACCGCGAGCUGCCCGAGGACGUGGGGCUGGAUGCCAGCACCGCCGAGUCCUUCCACCGCGUGCACACGGCCUUCGAGCGGGAGCUCCACCUGCUGGGCGUACAGGUACAGCAGUUCCAGGACGUGGCCGCCCGCCUGCAGAUGGCGUAUGCUGGGGAGAAGGCAGACACCAUCCAGAACAAGGAGCAGGAGGUAUCUGCUGCGUGGCAGGCGCUGCUCGAUGCCUGUGCCGGGCGCCGCACCCAGCUGGUGGACACAGCGGACAAAUUCCGCUUCUUCAGCAUGGUCCGAGACCUCCUCUCCUGGAUGGAAAGCAUCAUCCGGCAGAUCGAGACCCAGGAGAGGCCCAGGGACGUCUCCUCAGUGGAACUACUCAAGAAGUAUCACCAGGGUAUCCGGGCAGAGAUAGAAACCCGGAGCAAGAACUUCAGUGCCUGCCUGGAGCUUGGAGAGUCCCUGCAGCAGCGGCAGCACCAGGCCUCGGACGAGAUCAGUGAGAAACUGCAGCAGGUUGUGUCCAGGAGGAAGGAGAUGAUGGAGAAAUGGGAGGCCCGCUUUGAGCAUCUCAAUAUGUUGCUGGAAGUGUGCCAGUUCUCUCGGGACGCCUCUGCGGCCGAAGCAUGGCUGAUCGCCCACGAGCCCUACCUGGCCAGCCAGGACUUUGGACACACAGUGGACACUGUAGAAAAGCUUAUCAAGAAGCAUGAGGAUUUUGAGAAAUUCACAGCGGCCAGCUGGGAAGAGCGCUUCGCUGCCCUGGAGAAGCCCACCACGCUUGAGCUCAAAGAACGCCAGGCCCCAGAGAGAUCCAAGAAGGAGACUACUGGGCCUCAAGAGGAGGAAAGCGAGACAGCAGGGGAGGGUCCCCGAGGUCCCCAUCGACCAGCCACCAAGACACCGUCCCUGGGGGAAGAAGAGAGGCCGUGGCCUCAGGACCGGCAGCCGCCACCCCUGCCAGAGCUGCAUGAGGAAGGGCAGGAGGAGAAAUCCAGUGCAGAUGAGAGGCCAGCCACAGAGCCCCUCUUCAAGGUCCUGGACACGCCUCUGAGUGAGGGCGACGAGCCUACAACACUGCCGGCCCCGCGGGACCACGCGCACAGCGUGCAGAUGGAGGGCUACCUGGGCCGCAAGCAUGACCUGGAGGGGCCCAACAAGAAGGCAUCCAACAGGUCUUGGAACAACCUGUACUGUGUGCUCAGGAACAGCGAGCUGACCUUCUAUAAAGAUGCCAAGAACCUGGCCCUGGGGGUGCCCUACCACGGGGAAGAGCCCCUGGCCCUGAGACACGCCAUCUGCGAGAUUGCUGCCAACUACAAGAAGAAGAAACACGUCUUCAAGUUGAGAAGGUGCUGUGCUGCCUGACGGGGUUCUGGUCAUGGGAAGGCUCAGGGGGCUGUGGGAUCAGAGCCUACCCUCUGCCCAGGCAGAGGGCUCCAGAGGUGGCCACGUGGCAGGAAAUCCUUUGUCCUCCUAGGCUGAGCAAUGGCAGCGAGUGGCUCUUCCAUGGCAAGGAUGAGGAGGAGAUGCUGUCCUGGCUGCAGGGCGUGAGCACCGCCAUCAAUGAAUCCCAGAGCAUCCGUGUCAAGGCACAGAGCCUGCCCCUGCCCUCCAGCACCGGCCCCG
Molecule: non-coding RNA, 7122 nt
Organism: Vicugna pacos (alpaca)
Lineage: Eukaryota; Metazoa; Chordata; Mammalia; Artiodactyla; Camelidae
Source: RefSeq, a predicted model, not a curated record